RNAcentral lists this long non-coding RNA (259 nucleotides) under Helianthus annuus (common sunflower). RNAcentral's name for it is "hypothetical non coding rna". Lineage: Eukaryota; Viridiplantae; Streptophyta; Magnoliopsida; Asterales; Asteraceae. The record is from RNAcentral.
UUUGAGGAUAGUUCUGAACACGGGAACUGAAGCAAGCAAACCGAAGUUUAAGUAAUCAAUGUAGAAUGGAGUUUCUUUCGUAAAUGUAAAGUCAUCGUAGGGUAAAUGCUGAACAGAUGUGAUGGGAAAGAGAAGACAAACAUCUCAUGUUUCAUGCUUGUAUAGUAUCUGAUAUAAAAGAACAAAACUACUACUUCCAACUAUCCAUCGUCUUCUGUAACGUUUUUGUUUUACUAUUAAUUUAAACGAAAUUCUUGUA